UGAAGAUGCAAGUGGAUGGUGGUUGAACUUGCAAGUAGCCUACCAAUAAGCAUGCUAUUUUUCACCAUAUUAAGUCUGGCAGUAACCCAGAACUAUCAGAGGCAGAGGAUCGCUCUUCCGGCUGCAUUUAGGCAACAACCCAUACUGUACUGGCGGUAGGCUUCCCAGUGGCUGAGUUGGACCUCUGGUCAUAAGGUGGCUGGUUCGAAUCCCGGGACGAAAAAAUGGGUGGAAUUGAUCUGACAACUGGAUGGCUGCUUGGUUCACAUUCUCAAAAAAUUCCCCUACAUUUGGACUCUUGACCAAGUCCCUUAACCCCACAACAUGCUCUCCAUCCAGGGGUGCUGCACUGCAGCUUGAACCUGUAAUUGUCUCAACUGUAUGUGUGAGGUCUGCUGUUUGGGGGGUGGGUUGAGAAUGGAGCAGAAGCCA
This 432-nucleotide long non-coding RNA is filed under the name Salmo salar (Atlantic salmon). RNAcentral's name for it is "lncRNA (ENSSSAG00000091937.1)". The record is from RNAcentral. Lineage: Eukaryota; Metazoa; Chordata; Actinopteri; Salmoniformes; Salmonidae.